AAGAAGUGCAGAAAUUUAUAAUAAUUCAAAAACUACUACAUGACUACCCAAAAUCUGGUGUCAUAAUCCACGAACUUCUAAGAAUCACUACAAAUACUGGUUUUAAGAAAAUACAUCUAUUCUCAAAAUAAAAGAAAAAUGGGAAACUAGGAUAACUGGAAGGGGACUCUAGGGUCUGCGAAUGCCGGCAGAUCUAUAUUGGCUAUCAUGUGGACUGAAGGCACCAACCCAACCCUGGUCAAUGCAGUCCAGUACCAGAAUUUGCACAGAAAGUGCAGAGUGUAGUAUCAGUACAAACGACCACAUGUACUGAUAAGUGUUGAUCCUAACCUCGGUGAAGUAGUGACAAGGCUAGGACACGACAAUAACAUGAACCUGUACAUUUAAAUCAUAUACGAGAAGAUAACAACAAAUGAAAAUUUAGCAUAUAUUAAUGGGAAGGGGGAGAAACAUGCUCGGAGGAAUAUCAAUUCUUGAAAUAGUAUAGUAAAAAACGCAAUAAAUAACAUGCCUUACACCUAUGAAAGUAAUAACACAGCAAACAAGUGCAUGGCAUCACCUUUCGUGUUUUUACUCGCAUUCUAAUCAUAAAAAGCAACAGAAACGGCACAGCAUCACCCUUCGUACAUUAGCUCGCUCAUAACAUGGCACGGCAUCAACCUUCGUGCAUUAACUCUCUCAUAGAAUACGGCACAGCAUCACCCUUUGUGCAUUAUCACUCACAAAAUACGGCACAACAUCACCCUUCAUGCAUUAUCACUCACUCACAAUACAUUGCACGACAUCACCCUUCGUGAUUUACACUCUUCCUCACCCAAACAACAGAACAAUAAUAACCCGGCAAGGAAAUCAUCAAUAACCAACCUCGUUUCAAUAAUUAACUUCACAAUAUAAAUCUCAACUUAAGUCAAUAAUCAACCAAUAUCUAAUUCCAGGAAAAACAUGAUAAGAUUUGUUUAACAUGAAGAAUAUCCAGUUUAAGCAUGAACAGUACGAAUAAAGAAUACAACAGUCACAAGUAAUAGACUCACUCGCAUGCUAUGACUCGAUGACAACGUAUACGUACUCCUCACCUCACCUAUACGUCGUACUCAACAACCAAACACAUAGCAAAUAAGGCAACAACAUCUAAUCCCUCAAGCUAAGGUUAGCCACAACACUUACCUCGAUUCCACGGCCGAACUCAAGCCUCAAUCGCCGCUUUUCCCUUAGUUUCCACCUCCGAACCACUCGUAUCUAGUCAUAAUUAACUUAAUAAUAUCAAUUAUCGCUAAAGAAAUCAAUCCCAAUGCACAAUUACAAGUUUCCCAACAUUUUUCCCAAAAAAGUCAAAAAUCGACCCUAGGCCCGCUUGGUCAAAACUCGAGGUUCGAACCAAAACCCAUUCAUCCAU
Molecule: long non-coding RNA, 1393 nt
Filed under: Nicotiana tabacum (common tobacco)
Lineage: Eukaryota; Viridiplantae; Streptophyta; Magnoliopsida; Solanales; Solanaceae
Description: long non-coding RNA (NTAB_LNC006157)
Source: RNAcentral